Molecule: ribosomal RNA, 492 nt
Filed under: uncultured bacterium
Lineage: Bacteria
Description: partial 16S ribosomal RNA
Rfam family: Bacterial small subunit ribosomal RNA
Source: RNAcentral
AGUGAACGCUGGCGGUAGGCCUAACACAUGCAAGUCGAACGGCAGCACAGUAAGAGCUUGCUCUUACGGGUGGCGAGUGGCGGACGGGUGAGGAAUACAUCGGAAUCUACUUUUUCGUGGGGGAUAACGUAGGGAAACUUACGCUAAUACCGCAUACGACCUACGGGUGAAAGCAGGGGAUCUUCGGACCUUGCGCGAUUGAAUGAGCCGAUGUCGGAUUAGCUAGUUGGCGGGGUAAAGGCCCACCAAGGCGACGAUCCGUAGCUGGUCUGAGAGGAUGAUCAGCCACACUGGAACUGAGACACGGUCCAGACUCCUACGGGAGGCAGCAGUGGGGAAUAUUGGACAAUGGGCGCAAGCCUGAUCCAGCCAUACCGCGUGGGUGAAGAAGGCCUUCGGGUUGUAAAGCCCUUUUGUUGGGAAAGAAAAGCAGCAGGUGAAUACCCCGCUGUUCUGACGGUACCCAAGGAAUAAGCACCGGCUAACUUCGUG